RNAcentral lists this long non-coding RNA (201 nucleotides) under Erythranthe guttata (spotted monkey flower). RNAcentral's name for it is "long non-coding RNA (EGUT_LNC002415)". Lineage: Eukaryota; Viridiplantae; Streptophyta; Magnoliopsida; Lamiales; Phrymaceae. The record is from RNAcentral.
UCUAUAUAUAAUAUAAAAAGAGAAUCUAUGCCCUCAAUGAUUGACAUGUGGCAAAUGAUGAUGUCAUUUGUCAAAAUUGCUUAGUUGGAAUUCAAUUGAUUAGGUGGAUUCUUCAAUUGAUUAGGUGGCAUUUUUAUUUAUGGAUGUUUUUAAGUUUUUUCCUAUUUUACAUUUACACAAUCAUUUAAUAAUUACCACGUG